AACGUAGGAGGCGAGCGUUAUCCGGAUUUACUGGGUGUAAAGCGCGUGCAGGCGGUUUGGUAAGUUGGAUGUGAAAGCUCCUGGCUUAACUGGGAGAGGUCGUUCAAUACUACCAGACUUGAGGGCGGUAGAGGGAGGUGGAAUUCCGUGUGUAGUGGUGAAAUGCGUAGAUAUACGGAGGAACACCAGUGGCGAAAGCGGCCUCCUAGACCGAUCCUGACGCUCAGACGCGAAAGCUAGGGUAGCAAACGGG
RNAcentral lists this ribosomal RNA (253 nucleotides) under uncultured bacterium. RNAcentral describes it as "partial 16S ribosomal RNA". It matches the Rfam family "Bacterial small subunit ribosomal RNA", at positions 524 to 776 of the family's 1533-position model. The record is from RNAcentral.